AUACGUAGGGGGCGCGCGUUGUCCGGAAUUACUGGGCGUAAAGAGCUCGUAGGUGCUUUGUCGCGUCGUCUGUGCAAUUCUGGGGCUUAACUCCGGGCGUGCAGGCGAUACGGGCAUAACUUGAGUACUGUAGGGGAGACUGGAAUUCCUGGUGUAGCGGUGAAAUGCGCAUAGAUCAGGUGGGACACCGGAGGCGAAGGCGGUAUUGUGGGUAGUAAAUGACGCUGAGGAGCGAAGCCAUGGGUAGCGAGCAGUAUUAUUUCCCUUGAUUAUCCGGGGCGAAACGAGAGGUUGCAAGUUGUACUGGUCGUCCCGAUUUCGUGCUCCUUAGAUAACAUAUUGUUCGCCCGUGCUGGCGAGCUCCGCCGCAACGCUGAGACUCGAAUGACUUGAAGGUG
Molecule: ribosomal RNA, 398 nt
Filed under: uncultured bacterium
Lineage: Bacteria
Description: partial 16S ribosomal RNA
Rfam family: Bacterial small subunit ribosomal RNA
Source: RNAcentral